This 835-nucleotide long non-coding RNA is filed under the name Actinidia chinensis (golden kiwifruit). Its description in RNAcentral is "long non-coding RNA (ACHI_LNC008934)". Lineage: Eukaryota; Viridiplantae; Streptophyta; Magnoliopsida; Ericales; Actinidiaceae. The record is from RNAcentral.
AAAAAAAUUGUAGGAACCACCACUUAGAUAAUACAAUUUCUGAAAGAAAUACAAGUUCAUGGUAGAUCACCUUAAGUGCACCCAAUGCAAAAUUUCGCACCAGAUUAAGAGACAUAUACAUCAGAGGAUGAGAGAGAGGGAGAGAGAGAACCAACAACUAGCCAAACAAACCCAAACUAGCUAAUAUCAUAAGCUAACUAAGUUUUCGUGUAUUCACUCCGUGACCCAAAACACAACAGCAAACAGAACCAAAAAACAGCCAACCAAACCAUAAGAAAAAAAUUACAGAAACCCAGAAAAAAAUUAACCCAAAACCCAUCUAAUUGAAAGACCAUAAAACUCAUUUUUUGAAUCCACCACCAGCGGGCCUUUUUUGUUUCCCCUGAGCUUCUCCAAACCGCAAUUUCCCACCUUGACUAAAACCCUAACCCCGCCCCAACACCCCGCCGUGGAACUCAUCCCCAACCCAGCAGAGAAAAAGAGAUUGGGGCUUUGAACCUGGAGUGCACUCCUUGGGUGCAUGCGACGAUGGUCGCCGGAAUCACCGUGCGGCUUGCGACAAAAGGAGAUCGAAUGGUGAUAGAAUGACGGAAGUAGAUCACCGUGCGGUUUAGCCUUUACCAAAUUGAAAAAGUUGAGAGAUAAGGAGAGAGAGAGAGAGAGAGAGAGAGAGAGAGUGUGUGUGUGUCCAAUGGAGUGAGGGCAACUAUCUGUGUAUCGUGUGCGAGUUGUGUGAGUUUUAUGGCCUGUGUUUAGCCUGAGUGGUGUAGCACGUGUGAGUGGUGUGAGUUUUGUAGCCUGUGUUUUUAGCCUGAGUGGUGUAGCCUGUCACACA